AAAAAAAUUUUCUAUAAGAAAAAUGAAGAAUCAGAGAGAAAAGAAGAAUAUGAUUGUAACGAUCCAGCCCACUAGCAACAACAACUCGUUGGGCCUAAAUACGAGCACAAAAUGCUUAAGCUCAGUUAUUAUUACUAGUGUCUAAGUCUUUUAUAUACCCAAUCACAUCCUUAUUCUUAUCCAAUGUGGGAUUAUUCUGACGUCCUCGUCAGUCCAAUCACACACACAGCCCAAGAUCACCAG
RNAcentral lists this long non-coding RNA (243 nucleotides) under Ananas comosus (pineapple). RNAcentral's name for it is "long non-coding RNA (ACOM_LNC041724)". Lineage: Eukaryota; Viridiplantae; Streptophyta; Magnoliopsida; Poales; Bromeliaceae. The record is from RNAcentral.